CCGUGCUAGAUAGGGAGCUAGCGGUGCCCUGUAACCCGAAAUCCGCUUAUGCGGGGUCGAAAGUCCUCUAUAAGACCCUUGAUAAUAAUUGACCCUUAGCUGCUCUGAGGAGAGAUGGACUUCACGCAACAGACCCUUGGAAACCCCGUCAGGUCCGGAAGGAAGCAGCGGUAACUAAGUAAGCCUGUGUCGUGAUGGUAUCUAUCUUUGGCCUUUUGGUAGCAAGGACUAUUUAGUCAUGGAUUAAAUAAGGAUGCACGG
RNAcentral lists this signal recognition particle RNA (261 nucleotides) under Desulfobacteraceae bacterium. RNAcentral's name for it is "signal recognition particle sRNA large type". It matches the Rfam family "Bacterial large signal recognition particle RNA". From Rfam's summary of the family: The signal recognition particle (SRP) is a universally conserved ribonucleoprotein involved in the co-translational targeting of proteins to membranes. Archaeal SRP consists of a 7S RNA and homologues of the eukaryotic SRP19 and SRP54 proteins. Lineage: Bacteria; Pseudomonadati; Thermodesulfobacteriota; Desulfobacteria; Desulfobacterales; Desulfobacteraceae. The record is from RNAcentral.